CCUACGGGUGGCAGCAGUGAGGAAUAUUGGUCAAUGGGCGGAAGCCUGAACCAGCCAAGUCGCGUGAGGGAUUAAGGCCCUCUGGGUCGUAAACCUCUUUUGUCAGGGAGCAAGGUCGUCCACGUGUGGGCGUAUGGAGAGUACCUGAAGAAAAAGCAUCGGCAAACCCCGUGCCAGCAGCCGCGGUAAUACGGAGGAUGCGAGCGUGAUCGGGAUUUAUUGGGUUUAAGGGGUGCGUAGGCGGGACCUUAAGUCAGCGGUAAAACUACGGUGCUCAACGCCGUAGAGCCGUUGAAACUGGGGCUCUGGAGUGAGCGAGAGGUAGGCGGAAUGCGUGGUGUAGCGGUGAAAUGCAUAGAUAUCACGCAGAACCCCGAUUGCGAAGGCAGCAUACCGGCGCACAACUGACGCUGAGGCACGAAAGUGCGGGUAGCGAACAGGAUUAGAUACCCGUGUAGUC
RNAcentral lists this ribosomal RNA (460 nucleotides) under uncultured bacterium. Its description in RNAcentral is "partial 16S ribosomal RNA". It matches the Rfam family "Bacterial small subunit ribosomal RNA", at positions 338 to 795 of the family's 1533-position model. The record is from RNAcentral.